This is a long non-coding RNA of Nomascus leucogenys (northern white-cheeked gibbon), 1318 nucleotides long. RefSeq lists it as uncharacterized. The record is from RefSeq and is a predicted model, not a curated record. NCBI's taxonomy places the organism in Eukaryota, Metazoa, Chordata, Mammalia, Primates, Hylobatidae. The transcript is spliced from 2 exons.
CAGAGUGAGACUCCGUCUCCAAAAAAAAAAAUGACAUUUAAAAAAAAUGACAUUUCUUUUGAGCAGUGUUCCUUUGUAUUUUAAUAAUCCUGUAUUUAAUAUAGAUUAAGUAAAUAUUUAAGUUAUAAUGGAUGUCACAUAAAAUUUCCUUUAAAGAUCGGUAAGAAGAUAAAAUAGAUACUUAAAAGGAAAUAAGGGAGUCAAAAUAGUAGAAAAAAACUCAAACACAAAAGGCGGCAGUAAUGGAGAAAACAUAAGUGAAAGAUGCCGGACACAAAGGACCACAUGUUUAUGAUUCCACUUAUAGAAAAUAUCCAGAAUAGACAAAUCCAUAGAAAUAGGAUCCAGGGGAUGGGAGGAGGGAAUUAUUACUUAAUGGGGGCUUCCCUCUUUGGUGAUGAAAAAUGCUUUGGAACUGUAGUGGUAACAGUACCACAACACUGUAAAUGUACUAAAAGCUACGGAAUUGUAUACUUUAAAAUGGUGAAUUUUGGAACGGGGGGGCAGGAAAAUAAAAUGGUGCAUUUUAUGUUAUGUGAAUUUUACCACAAUAAAAAAUAAAAAGAGAAAAAGUUGCUUUACACAAAAGCAUGAAGUAAAAAUUACAUGUGGUAUGGUAAAAUAGCACAAAUCAUAAAAGCAAUCCAAGAAUGCCUAAAAUGUAAGGAAUAUUGCUUUAUCCAGAUUACCUGAGAAUGGCAGUCCUCAGGUGGAGAAAGGUGUAUCUGCCCUGCCCAACCAGCAGCAGGCAAGCAGGGGCCUCGCAGCCCAGUGCAGGCGCUGUUUAGAAAGGGGCAUCCACGUGGAUAAAAGGCCCAGAUUAAAUGGGGCAGGAUGAUAUUUUGAGAUAUCUGACUUUGUUCUUUCUGCUCUGGAAUUUCACUCCCUGGCCCUGCCCCUUGCCUGCGGCAGCCAAGUUCACUGCCAGGAGAGGGAAGUGACAGAGCAGAAAUCGGGAACAAAGGACUGUGGAAGAAAAAAAAAAAUUACAGGUGAAAGACUGGAAUGCAGGCAGAACUAGGAACAGGGACAAACAGACCUUAUCACUGCAAAGAGGCUACUACCUAGAAAGAAGUGUUCAAGCCCAAGUUUUUCAAGCAUAAUGUUAACUAACCAAGGGCAGAGAUAACCCAAAUGGAUCCAUCCCAUCUACAAUUAAACUAAGGACAGAAUCACUUGAGCUCCUUCCAAAGAAUGUUAAGUAAACAGAUUUUAUUCAAUCUUUCCUAGAGUUUAUAAUGAAUAUUUGUUAUUUAAUAUGGUAGUUACAUUACAGUUUUACCUUACGAGUGAUAGAACAUUUAGUGAAUAAGAUUAA